RNAcentral lists this non-coding RNA (31 nucleotides) under Mus musculus (house mouse). Lineage: Eukaryota; Metazoa; Chordata; Mammalia; Rodentia; Muridae. The record is from RNAcentral.
UGGUGUUCCUCUGUCCAACAAACCACAGUGU